UCCUUGGUAGCUCAAUGGUAGAGCAAUCGGCUGUUAACCGAUCGGUUGUAAGUUCGAGUCUUACCCAAGGAG
Molecule: transfer RNA, 72 nt
Filed under: Anaerolineales bacterium HSG24
Lineage: Bacteria; Bacillati; Chloroflexota; Anaerolineae; Anaerolineales
Also listed under: 1 other name
Description: tRNA-Asn
Rfam family: tRNA
About the family: Transfer RNA (tRNA) molecules are approximately 80 nucleotides in length. Their secondary structure includes four short double-helical elements and three loops (D, anti-codon, and T loops).
Source: RNAcentral